RNAcentral lists this ribosomal RNA (492 nucleotides) under uncultured bacterium. RNAcentral describes it as "partial 16S ribosomal RNA". It matches the Rfam family "Bacterial small subunit ribosomal RNA", at positions 29 to 507 of the family's 1533-position model. The record is from RNAcentral.
AGUGAACGCUGGCGGUAGGCCUAACACAUGCAAGUCGAGCGGCAGCACGGUGAUUGCUUCCUGUUACGGGGGCGGACGGGCGGGUGAUGCCUAGGUACAUCCGAAUCUGCUUUUUCUUAGGGGAGAAAGUGGGGGAACAUACCCCAAUCCCCCUUACGGCCUACGGGGGGAAGCAUGGGAUCUUCGGACCUCGGGUGAGUCAAGGUGCCGAUGUCGGAUUAGCUAGUUGGUGGGGUAAAGGCCCACCAAGGCGACGAUCCGUAGCUGGUCUGAGAGGAUGAUCAGCCACACUGGAACUGAGACACGGUCCAGACUCCUACGGGAGGCAGCAGUGGGGAAUAUUGGACAAUGGGCGAAAGCCUGAUCCAGCCAUGCCGCGUGUGUGAAGAAGGCCUUCGGAUUGUAAAGCACUUUUGGUUGGAAGGAAGAGCAGCAGGUUAAUACCCUGCUGUUUUGACGUUACCAAAAGAAUAAGCACCGGCUAACUUCGUG